RNAcentral lists this ribosomal RNA (162 nucleotides) under uncultured bacterium. RNAcentral's name for it is "partial 16S rRNA". It matches the Rfam family "Bacterial small subunit ribosomal RNA", at positions 355 to 511 of the family's 1533-position model. The record is from RNAcentral.
UAGGGAAUCUUCCACAAUGGACGCAAGUCUGAUGGAGCAACGCCGCGUGAGUGAAGAAGGUCUUCGGAUCGUAAACUCUGUUGUUAGAGAAGAACACGAGUGAGAGUAACUGUUCAUUCGAUGACGGUAUCUAACCAGCAAGUCACGGCUAACUACGUCCAG